UUGUUAGCUGCCACAGUCGGUGCUCGGAUUUCCAGUCUAUGACCAUGAAUGUUGGGGCGGUCAUAAGUGCCAAUGGGUCGAGAUGCUCGCUGUGGGUGUUGUGAAACGUUGUGGAACGUUGUUGGCUCCAUUGGCGUUCGCAUCAUCUUGAGGUUGGUCUCCCAUAUUAAUAUCCAAUCUCUGCAAGUAAGGCUGUUGCUCUUCUUCUCUUCUCUUUCUAGCACACUCUCUCUCUAUAGCUCUGAUGUCUGCAACUCUGGGAACUAGGUUUGAUGGACCCCUGCUCCUCAAGUUCAUACACCUGAAAGUAAAAGGGAGGUGAAGAAGGAGAAUCAGUAACAAGAGAAAAAAAUAAAAAUGACUUAGUCUCAAGCAAGUGACUAAAUCUCAAUGUUCAAAUCUACUCAGAAUUUGGCAACGACACCAAUUUGAUGUUAAGAGUUUUCAAGGCUCCUAAGACAAAUGAUGUAGUAUAAAAGAUUGUCGAACCAAUUCUAAGGGAUUUCAAAGCACUGAGAAUGCAAGCACUCACUUAAUCUAAGUGCAACCGGUGAUUUAAAAGAUUUCUAAACUAAUGACUAAUGCUAAUGCAGUUGCAGAAUAAUAAAAGCGAUAAAUGAAGUAACUUUCUUAACUAAGGGAAAAAAGAACUCAUGGGCAUAGGGAUUAGACCUUGGGUGAUCAAGUUUCGAACUAAGGAUGGCAAACGAUCAAUCAAACUAUCAACCUUAAGCUUAGACACAGUUCUAAACAAGCUCUAUGUCUAGAUGAAUGUUCAUUUACUAACACAUUUCAAACAUCAAAUGUCUUUGGUUGAAUAAUAUGAAUGCAAUCAUUACUAACAAGUCAAAUGGCUAUCUUAGCAUCUCUAACAACAAAUGUCUUUGGCAAAGUAUGCUAAAAGCUUAGAAGAGUUGUCUCAGGCAUUUCAUCAAACACCUUUUGGGUGGAAAAUGCCUAAAGAUCAGCUUUUGAGAUGCCAACUCAGAAGAUGCAUUAUGAAUACUCUACUAGCAAGGACUAAGAAUGAUCUACACUAAAACAUCCUAGCUCUAACCUAAUCACCCUUAAUCUCCCUAACCCAUG
This 1086-nucleotide long non-coding RNA is filed under the name Brassica napus (rape). RNAcentral describes it as "long non-coding RNA (BNAP_LNC012053)". Lineage: Eukaryota; Viridiplantae; Streptophyta; Magnoliopsida; Brassicales; Brassicaceae. The record is from RNAcentral.